GAUGAACGCUGGCGACAGGCUUAACACAUGCAAGUCGAGGGGAAACGACGUGGCAGCUUGCUUUCCCGGGCGGCGACCGGCGCACGGGUGAGUAACUCGUAGCCAACCUGCCUCUGACUGAGGGAUAACCCGUCGAAAGUCGGCCUAAUACCUCAUGGCAUCUUCUGCGUGCAUCCAACGACUUUUAACGAUUUCAUCUUUCAGGGACGGGGUUGCGUCUGAUUAGGUUGUUGGCUGGUUGACGACCCACCAGGGCUACGAGCAGUAGGGGUUUUGAGAGGAAGGUCCCCGACAGUGGAACUGAGACAAGGACAAAACUCCUAGGGGAGGCAGCAGUGAGGAAUAGAGGUCAGUGGGAGGGAGCCUGAACCAGCGCGGGAGCGUGCAGGAUGACCGCCCUAUGGGUUGUACACUUCUUUUAUGAGGGGAUAAAGUGGGGGAAGGGUCCUUCAUUGCAGGUACCGCAUGAAUAAGGACCGGCUAAUUCCGUG
This 491-nucleotide ribosomal RNA is filed under the name uncultured bacterium. RNAcentral describes it as "partial 16S ribosomal RNA". It matches the Rfam family "Bacterial small subunit ribosomal RNA", at positions 28 to 507 of the family's 1533-position model. The record is from RNAcentral.